CGGCGUGCUUAACACAUGCAAGUCGAACGAGAAGAGAUGAGAAGCUUGCUUCUUAUUGAUUCGAGUGGCAAACGGGUGAGUAACGCGUAAGCAACCUGCCCUUCAGAUGGGGGACAACAGCUGGAAACGGCUGCUAAUACCGAAUACGUUCUUUUUGUCGCAUGGCAGAGGGAAGAAAGGGAGGCUCUUCGGAGCUUUCGCUGAAGGAGGGGCUUGCGUCUGAUUAGCUAGUUGGAGGGGUAACGGCCCACCAAGGCGACGAUCAGUAGCCGGUCUGAGAGGAUGAACGGCCACAUUGGGACUGAGACACGGCCCAGACUCCUACGGGAGGCAGCAGUGGGGAAUCUUCCGCAAUGGACGAAAGUCUGACGGAGCAACGCCGCGUGAACGAUGACGGCCUUCGGGUUGUAAAGUUCUGUUAUACGGGACGAAUGGCGUAGCGGUCAAUACCCGUUACGAGUGACGGUACCGUAAGAGAAAGCCACGGCUAACUACGUG
RNAcentral lists this ribosomal RNA (498 nucleotides) under uncultured bacterium. Its description in RNAcentral is "bacterial SSU rRNA". It matches the Rfam family "Bacterial small subunit ribosomal RNA", at positions 40 to 507 of the family's 1533-position model. The record is from RNAcentral.